CCACAGCUGAAGAGUCCCAAAUAGGACGAAACGCGCGUCCUGGAU
RNAcentral lists this non-coding RNA (45 nucleotides) under Schistosoma mansoni. The record is from RNAcentral. Lineage: Eukaryota; Metazoa; Platyhelminthes; Trematoda; Strigeidida; Schistosomatidae.